AUGGUGGCAUGUGCCGAAAGAUUAGGUGUGCCCCGUGGCUCUCGGAUGUUCAGGUACGCGCUUCAAGCUGUCGCCUUUCGCAGCAAAGAGAAGAUUGCUGCCAAAGUGGAGUUCAUGAAGAAUGCAUUCACGUGGUCAGAUGCCGAGGUGAGCAUUGCUCUGUCUAAGGCUCCGCUCUUGCUAAGGAGGUCAAAGGAACAUCUGCAGCGCACUUCCAAUUUUCUCAUCUCCGAGGUUGGCUUGGAACCGGCUUACAUUGCCCGUCUUCCGGCAUUGAUCACUUACAGCCUGGAAGGCAGGCUCCGACCGCGGCACUACGCUGUGAAGUUUCUUACAGAAAAUGGAUUGCUAGAUCACGGCGGGAGCUACUAUGUAAUUUUCAAGAUGACUGAGAAGGUUUUCGUGGAAAAGUACAUAUGUCCUCACAAGGAAGCUGUGCUGCACCUUGCCAAAUACUAUGCUGCCGCUUGUCGAGGGGAAGUGCCUGCCCACUAG
Molecule: ribosomal RNA, 495 nt
Filed under: Triticum aestivum (bread wheat)
Lineage: Eukaryota; Viridiplantae; Streptophyta; Magnoliopsida; Poales; Poaceae
Description: partial small subunit ribosomal RNA
Source: RNAcentral